CAAUGUAUCUUUAUCUAAGCUCAUAAAUAAAAAGUAAUUCUCUUUUAAAACACAAAUUUCUAGAGAACCAAUAUUAUUUGCAAGAUAUUUAUUUUAAAUCACAACCCAUUUAAUUUGCUUUAAUCACAACCCAUUAUUUUCUAACAUUCAGAACUAGCCUGCCGUGACAAAUUAUACCCAUCAUCUUCAUUCGUCAUUGUUAUCUUCAUCUCCUCUAGUCUUCAUUCUCCACCUAGCUAGGGCUAUAUUAUCCACCCAAUGUGUUGAGCCAUGAAUCCCCUUAAUGUGGGUUAGUUGAGUUUCCACCUUAAUCCAUAUGAAGAAAUCCAAGAGGGGAGGAGAAAUUCAAUCCAUGGACUGUUUCCCAAUUAAAGAUGGAUAACAAAUUACUAAACUGAGCCUUUGUUGUUGUUGUUGUUGAGUUUUUGUUUUGUUGUCAUCGUCUCUAGGUUUUUCCCAUCUCCCUCCAUUUGAUCUCUCUAAUGUUGGAAUGCAUAUGCUCUUCCGUAUACAUAGUUGGCCAGCAUUAGUUAUAUUUAAUUAUUUAUGGAUCAAACAAUUUCUGUAAAAAGGACGAUUUAUCUUUAUGAUAGUCCAAAAAUAAUAAGAAUACGACUCCUAUAGAAACAUGGAAUACUUAAAUUAAAUGGUUGAAUAACACCUAAUUUCCAUGAGUGUUAUAAAGAUUUAACUCUUGCGAAGAUUGAGGAUAAUGCAGCAACACGUCAUAGGUAAACAAAAUUGAGUGAACGAUAAGGAUCCGAAGAGUCCUGAUGUCAUUUAGAUAUGAUGUUUCUGAUUGUAACACGGGUUAAUUGAGAGGCCGGUCUGUCUAAUUAUAAAAUCCAACAGGUUUUAAUUCCGAGUCACUUGUUCAAUCGACUGGACCUGCUGUUUGGUCUGAUUCUGAGUAACUACAAUAUGAACCAACUUAAUCUUUUGAUUUUAGUAUAAACAAUAGUAUUUGUAAAGGUAGGCUUAGCUGUAGGACGAUGUUUACAACCAAAGUUUAACUGUCAGGUCAAGGCCUGGCUUGACGUGGGAGGGAGGCCUGCGGAAUCACACAAAACUUCCACCACUUCCUUCCUAGCGUCUCCAAAUUUAACGUACAACCUGGCCGUUUCAAUUUUUCAAUGUUAAAAACCAACCCAAAGAACUCGAGCAAAAGGAAAUGGAUCAUUCCCUUUAUUUAUUUAUACCAGCCAUUCUAUGCAUCCUUCUUUGUAAAACUUACGUACAACAACCAGUCAAGUGCCUUCACGUUCAAACACGAGGAAAAUACUCACCUCACAUUCUUCUCCAUCUGCCUUUCAACUUGAAGGAGCUCGAACAGGUCUUCUUAAAAAACUGAAACCUGAGUGGUUAGGAAAGAAAGUGCUGGUGAUUAAAGUGCUCCUUUGUAUAUCUAAUAAUCGUAAAAAGCAUAGGAACAGAUUCUUCGUCUGUUGAAUCAAUAUCUUCUACGAAUCAUUACCAAAUGGAAAAAUCCUCGAACGGAAGACCCGAGGAGACCCUGAAAGUAGGAGCACAUGAUGAAGAGAAGGAAGUUCAAGUUGUAUUGGAAGAUUCUGCGGCGUCAAAACCAGAUGUUGAGCUUGUGAGAGACAUUUUUACUGAUGGGAACUCUAAGUCUGUUAAUGAAACGACAGAUGGGAAGAAUUCCUGCUCAAGUAGUAGCAGUACGGUCGAAGACGCAGAACCUGAGGGAAAGAGUCCUCAGGUGGAGAAUUCAGAGAAUUUUGAAGAGGAGAAACUGGUUUCUGAUUCAGUUGUUGAGUCAGUUGAACUUGAACCAGGGGUUUCUUCGACUGAAGAGUUCAGUCAAGGUAUCAACCCAUCAGUUGAGAAAUCUGGGGAUUCCGAUGCUGCUGGGUUGGAUGCCAAAGACACAGAAGAGAAAGCUUUACCAUCUCUGGACGAGACUAACGCGGAUUCUCCAAUAUUACAAGAUUUGUCAGUAAAUGGUUUAAAGGAAGAAACAGAGCAGCUGUCCUCUGCUGAGACAACUAGGGAUUCUGCACUCCUAACAGGUAAACCGAAGGGAAUUGAUCAGGAAACAACUCUUCCAGGUUUGGAUAAGACUAAUGGCUCCAAGGUUGAAGCAGAUGUAAUGUCUUGUUUGACUGAGAACAGUGGAGUUCCAGCAGCUGCAGUAGCCCAAGGAAUCACGGAAACCAAAAUUCCAGCUUCUGAUAAUGAUGCUGGAGGAUCAUCAGGGUCCUCUGAUUUGGCAUCUAAGGAAAAUAUUAAAGAUUCAUUGCUGGCAGCAAAUGUUUCUAUCGUUGAGACCAGAGAUGCUGGUGAACUAGUAAACCAGCCUGAGACCGGUGAAAGCUCGGGAAAUCAGCCUAUCGUAUCUAUGAGUCAUCAUCCCGUGCAACCAACUUCUUGGAAGAGUUGCUGUGGACUUUUUGAAGUUCUGCGGCGCUCCGACAGAUAAACUCACGUGUCUUUCCUGUUGAUGGAACAAUAUUCUGGUGCUUCAUUAAUCACGCUAGUGGUCUAAUCUGCAAGUAAGAGGGACAGAGUACUACUCAAAAAAAAAAAAAGUUACACAAAAUUACAAGUUGUUGUGGGUUUAUAGGUUUUUAUGAAGCUUUUUUCAGCAUUUUCUGCAAAAGAGUCACUGAGAAGAAAUGUUUAAAGUAUGUUGAGAAUGUACUAGAGCUUGGAUGUUGGAUCUGCCGUGUGUGGAGCGAGUGUUUCAUCAGCUGGCCUUGUAGUUACAUUCGUUUGUGUAUUUGCAUAUUUAUUUCUGUGAUGAUAUGAUUUCAUUUCCUAUUGGUAAGUUGAGUUUUCCCCUCGACUCACCAAAGUUUAAUGGCAAGAAUGAUUUAGAUUACAUGGAUCGCAGUAGCAGUUUCAGUUAAUACUAGGAAGAAAAAAUAGCUCGGUUAUACUUGGAAAUGACUAAAACAAGAAAAUGGCUCUAUCCUGUCCGAAUACUAGGUUUAAAACGUAGGGUAAAAGCUGCUGGUUAAAUUUGCCAAUUGCGACCACCUAUUCUCCAGCAGAGGUAGGACUGUAGGAGCAAAAACCAGGGAGUGGAGUCCUAGCCUCGCCCAUCCUCCCAACCCAAACCAACAAAUCCGCUCAAUAGUUACCCGUAGGCCUGAGUUCCAUUCAAAAUCCAUCAGACUGAAUAUUUCUCCGUUCUCCUUUGGGGGGAAAAAAAAAGGAAGAGCAAUGAUUCAACAGGACUCCUCCCGUUCACUUUUAGUCAAAAAACCUAUAUUAUGACCUACUAUCUAAACACAUAGCCAUUGGCUAAAAUCAGUCUUCAACAGGGCGUCGAGCAAAGACUUG
Molecule: non-coding RNA, 3306 nt
Organism: Durio zibethinus
Lineage: Eukaryota; Viridiplantae; Streptophyta; Magnoliopsida; Malvales; Malvaceae
Source: RefSeq, a predicted model, not a curated record